This 924-nucleotide ribosomal RNA is filed under the name Triticum aestivum (bread wheat). RNAcentral's name for it is "partial small subunit ribosomal RNA". The record is from RNAcentral. Lineage: Eukaryota; Viridiplantae; Streptophyta; Magnoliopsida; Poales; Poaceae.
GGUUUACCUUGCGAUGGAAUAGGGGGUCAUGAGAGAGCCAGAGAGGAGAGGAGAGGUGAGUGAGUUGGAGAGAGCGAGGGCCAGAGGGGAGGGAAGGGGGCCGCGUAGGCGGCGCGCGCAGCUACUCGAGGACGGCGUUGGCACGCUGAGGCUGGUAGCUGGUGGCGUAAACAACGUACGUAGCCGUCAACGGCGCGCUGCUUCUAGCGGCGACCAGGACGUUGUCGGAGCCGACCUCCUCCUGCUAUCCAUGUACCGCUUCCUGCGAGUUCAUUCUCCUCGCCGGGGUUACCACCGCCGGAGCUCGUGGCCCUAUUCACGUCCGACCCCUACGUCCUCUCCACGUCGCGCCCCGAGCCCCGAGGCUGCUCGACCCACGCCGCGCUGCCUGCUGCUGCCUGCGUCCCUGAGUAACUAGGCCCGCGACCACGAGUUAGGCCAGGGCAAGGCCGGCCUAGGCGCCGCCACGAGUAGAGGCCGCUCCACCGGCCACUGAGCGCCCGGCUGCCGCCGCGUUCUGGUGCCCUCCUCGAGUAGAGUGCGCUCCAGGACAACCGAAGCCAACGGCCACCGAAUGCGUCCCCACCGCCCCCAGGUCGUAGUACCUCGGAGAAGCUCCCGCUCCUUCGUCUGCCACUGCUAUUGAAACUCCGGCCGCCCCCGUGGCAGAGGCGCAAGCUACCAGCACCACUUGCGGCACCCGAGGUUGCGCCGGCGGCAACCGAGAUAGGGGAUGGCCCGUAAUGAGUUCACUCGACUACUUCAUUCUCCUUAGGUCUCCGCACCCUAAACGUGACACAUAGUAAAAUUCGUACCAACCGGCGUAGCAACCGAGGAGAACUUUCGUGUACAUGAUGAACGUGGUUCUUGUUCUUAAAUUGUCAUCUUUUCGGCAUAGUUGAUAUACAUACGGGGUUACGCUAG